Anolis carolinensis (green anole) is the source of this 1115-nucleotide long non-coding RNA. RefSeq lists it as uncharacterized. The record is from RefSeq and is a predicted model, not a curated record. The transcript is spliced from 2 exons. NCBI's taxonomy places the organism in Eukaryota, Metazoa, Chordata, Lepidosauria, Squamata, Anolidae.
AGCCUUCGGGCUCCGGUAAUAGGAGAAGGGGUCAUAAGACUCCUCGAGAGUCAGACUCCUUCGAGGAGCGUGAAAGGAAGCGGCUCCGGGAUUUGUUUACAGAACUGACAGAUGAGGAUUCCUUUGAGGGCUUUUCUCAGGGUUUGGAGGAAGAGAUGGCCAGCUCGGAGGAGGACGACAUGGAAUGGACUCGUGUGAGAGAGGAUUUGGGUGUUGGGGAAACAGGCAAUGAAAGCAUGGGAGGUGUUUGGCGGGUUGCAGGAUCAGACCCAUGGACUGGCUGGAGGGAUGGAGCGGGAUCCACAGCUGGGGAUGCUGUGGGGCGUAGUCAAAGGUGCUUAAGCUCUGAUGAGGAUGAUGAUGUUGGGGCGUCUGGAAUUGGGAUGGCAGCUGACAGCGAUGAUGAGCUUGAACUGGGAUAAAAUGGGGUUUGGGAUCAAUGCCUAAUUGCGUUGGGCAAGGUAAUCUGGACGGAGGCUUGGGCUUUUUGUUUGGGAACUUCCUGAAGACGGGUGUGAUUCGUUGCCUGGAUACCUUGAUCUCCGUCGUCUUUUUGACGGGCAAUACCUUCUCGCACUGAAUUGACGCUGGACUGAUUGACUUCGAUUCCGGAUUAUCCCUUCUGCUGACUACUGGUGAGACCUCUGGAUUUCUUGACGACUUCGCUUGGCUGUAGACCUCUGGACCGGAUUGGGACCCUGCUGACUGCCGUUACCCUGACUGCUGUGCCUGGACCUGGAUAUCGUUGGACGCUGAACCCUAAAUUGGAUCCUGACUACGACCACUCUUUUCGCUUGCUGCAGGAAGGAAUAAACAAGCCUGGUUUAUUCCCCUGCUGUGUCUGAGUAGCAGAGAGGAAUCUGCCACCAGCCUGUUGUUUACGUUUUGUUUCCUGCUGAUUCUCCUUUGUUUGCUUUGUUUGCCAAGCUGAAGUAAGCUCUUUUAUUUAAUCCGGAUUAUACUUCUGUUUAACCCGGUUUAUUCCUUUGAACCGUUUAAGCUCAAGCUGAGCUGUUUUUUGUUACUUUUCACACUGAAGUUAAGUGUUUGCCCUGUUCUUUGUCUUUUACGGGCGUUUUUGGUUCUGUAACCUCAAUAAACUGAGUUUUGUUUUA